AAUAACCUCUUUGAUAGUUAUAGGGCAAAUCCUGCAUGAACUGGCUGGAAAUUAUGUAAUGACAAUGGUCUGUGAAUGCAGUCCUUUAUUUUCUAGGAGCUUUGACACUCAUCCUAGGCAACUCUUUGGAGAACUGAACUGCUGAGCUCUUUGAAAAUUUCUGCUGGACACAUGCAAGUGACGGCUUAAUUCAUGGCUGUAGAACCUGGCUAGAUGUAGGUGAACUCAAGUCUUUCAAAAGAUGGACAGGCAAAAGCAUUCAACUUUCCUUAAAGGAGUUUACAUUCUUCCAAACUAAUCCAAGUGGAGUAGAUCUUAUGAGAUGGUGAAGCUGGAAGAUCUUGAUCCCUAUUUAAUCUAAAUCAGGAUCUCAGGAACCUAAAAGAAAUCGAAAUGGUUUUUGAGACCUCGCUGGAUUUAUCUGCGCAUUGAACCAGCCAAUUUUCCAAUGGAUGGAACUUUCACACAGCCACAGAAAAGUGAAAAUUUUUAUUUUAUUGGAAAACCUGAUUUUAAAAUUGCAAAGAGAUGGCAGAAUUAUUAACAGGAAAAGAUUCUGCAGCCUUCCAGCAUCCUUCAUUACUGCUAAGUAUCCUGAAACGAAAAUGAGUAGGACCUGUACCUUGAUGAUAGGCCUGUGAUUCUGUGCUCAUUAUUUUCAAAAUCUGCACAGAGUCAAUAUUCAGAUGGAGAUGAGAGGCUGAUUAAAAUCAAGAUUUUCUUUUCUGACAUAAUUGAAAAGUGCUUAUGAUAAAGAAUUUUGUGUGCAUAUCUGCAAGAAGAAUUUUUAAAUCAGCUGGUUUUCUGGGACAUCUGAGUUCGAGCUAAAAGGACAAGUGCACAGAGGGAAUGAUUCAUUGUGUGCCCAGAUGCUCUCUGGCACAUGUUUCUCAAUUAAGAAGCUAUGAAUUGAAAACUGGCAUUGACUUUUCACAAUACUGCAAGGUCUAGAUCCCCUUGGGCUUUCAUCCCUCCUGCAACUGAACACUUCAGCCUUCAAAAAUUUGUUUUGGCUUUUGAGGUAGGAAUGUCAUAUCAUUUUACAAUAGUGAGUGUUUCUUUCCACUUGCAGCUAUGUGGAAGUCACCACAGGGACCAAGACUGUUCAAGUGUUCAGCAAGAAAAGCUAUAUCAUGUUCAUAAAUCUCUAAGUCAAAUCUGAAAUAAAAGUCAUGCAGCAAACCGGAAAAUGAAUUUUAUUUUAAAUCGAAACAGGGAUCAGCAGAUAUAGCCUGGGAUUUGGAAAUGAUUAAGUGUAGGAUUCAGUUAAGAAGUUUCGCCUCUCAAGAAAAUAUAAAGCAAACAUUCUUAUUCCUGACCUAUAGAUCUUCACUGUGUUCAGAAUAAUAAAAUGACUGAUCCAAUCACGUAUUGAUGCAGAAGAUCUUGGAGCAUUUUUACUGAGAUGUGAGUCAAUAAUAGAUUUUGUGGUUUUGGCUUUUCUUUCCUGGUUAAAUCAUGUUUUACUUUCAGCUCCACUCCCCCUGAAUUGUAAGGCCUACUGCUAGAUGUUGAAAUAUGGAGAAGGUUGUAUUUCACCUUAUCCUUGCUUUCAUCAGCGGGAAUCUUGUGUAAAUUGAGAUUGUGGUCCUGAAGGUCCAAGUGUGCUUGCUGUAUUUCUUGUCUUUUAGACACAUGUUCAGUGAAAAAAAACCAGAUUCAGAAGGAAAUGUAUUGAGCAAAGUAUGUAAAUCCGAUGUCAUAUAUGGAUAUAAUUACAAGACUAAAACAAUGGUUUUUCUAAUUUAUUCAAUUCAAUGUGUACUUGCAGUUUUCAGCUUUGAAUCCUAGAAAUAUUUUCAAAGCCUGCUUAAUCCCGUCUUCUAGAGACUCUUCCCUGCACCAACUAUUAACCCAACUUUCCCUUAAUUGUCAUCUUGUCCCUUACUACCUGGUUUUGAGGUUUGGAUCAUGGAUUUCCCUACCAUAGCCAAAAUGACUUAUAGAUCUUUUUCAAAUUUAAAUGCCACUCUACUGGUAACAUUGUUGAAUCUUGACUAACGGUAUAGAUAACUUCGUCAUAUUCAGUUCCUAUUUCUCUUUACUUUGUUGUCUAAGGAAAUGACCAAUAGUAUGACUUAACAUAGCUUGUAGGGUACAAUGAGAUGGUAGGAAAGGUAUUUUGAGCACUAACAUAUAAUCCCAAAAUAUCCCUAAUCUCACUGUGCAUGAAUUAUGCAUCUGCACAAAUUCCAUUGGACAAUUUGAAUUUGAAAAAAAACCUCGAUGGAGAGUAACACUUGCCAUUUCCUGGUGGUGAUGCUCAUACUUUUGAUGUGAAACUUUGCUCCUCUCUCUCCAAAGAAGAAUCUGAUAGAUUGGAGCACUCUCUUCAGUCUGCUGCAAAAGACAGAAAUACUGUUAAAAAAUUAUUUAACUAUUAAUCCCAGUGUCCAUCUCCCACUGGAGAUUUUCACUCACUAGACCCUCCUCAGAAAGAAAAUAAUAGGGAGCAAAGAUUAUAUUUGUAGAUGUAUGUACACAGAAUGUGUGGGGAAGGUCUUUUUCAAGGGGAGACAGUUUUUUUGACAGUGGUGUCAAGGUCAGGCAUUUUGCCCUUUGGGAACAGGAGACAAGAUUCCUCCCUGUUCAGAAGAUUCAUAUGCUUUUUCAAAGUUUCUCCAUGAUCUCUCUCCUGCCUUUAUUUUUCCUUUUGUGACGAAUUCUUAUAAAUGGAAACUGCAUUUCGUCUGCUGUCAUGCCCCACUGAAGGAAAGUACAAGAAAGUUUUUUGCUCAUAUUUUACCCAGAUGCUUGAUGGGAAAAAUUCUCCUUGCUUUGGCAUUUUCCUGUGAAUUGGAGCAAGCAAUGCUGCAGUUGAUAUUAUUUCCAUUAAGCUUCGUAAGAUUUAAGAGAGAUUCACUGGAGCAGUGACCUCUGACUCUGACAAAAUUUUUUUUCAAGUCAAAGCUCUUCCCAAGUGCAUGAUACACAGAUUAGCAGAUUUGUCAAAACUGUCUUUAAACCAUCAUUUGCCUUCCUAAAAUUCACUUGUGUGUUAUUUACCUUUCAUUGACCUAUUAUAAGUACAUCUCCACUGGACAAUUAUACCAGAAUCUAAAAUUCAGGAAAUAAUGAUUUUGUUUGUCUUGAGCCUCAACCUAACAU
Molecule: long non-coding RNA, 3108 nt
Organism: Passer domesticus (house sparrow)
Lineage: Eukaryota; Metazoa; Chordata; Aves; Passeriformes; Passeridae
Exons: 8
Source: RefSeq, a predicted model, not a curated record